UUCAGGUGAGAACCUAUAUGACCGAAGUGUAGAAGUGUACCUUGGUAACAGCAGUUGGCUGUGGUUCAGGCCGUCUUAAAUGAUCUGGUAAAUCAGAGCAGAGACAGUUUACCCGACACUGUCCAUUUUCAGGCUUUGUUAGUAGUGAAAGAGAAUCAGAUUGAUAUUCCCCACCGUGCCCAUGAAGAUUGGUUCAUGAUGAACCUUAGAUUCAGUAGGCACCCAGCGCGGUAACUUAUCCAGAAUUGGAGGCAUCGGCGUUAGUCCUGGGAACAUUUCUCUUUUUCUCGCGAGGAGUGCUUCUACCCUCUAGAAUCGGCUUGUCCGAAGAUAGGGGUCUAGCCUUCAUAAAGCACCACCCUUCUUGUGGUGUCCAGGACGCUAAUUUUCGCCCUUGAAAAUCCGAGCCAGGCAGCAUUAUUUUCAUGGCAGGCCAUAUGCAUAACCGCAGCAGGUCUCCAAGGGGAAAGGUCUGUAGC
RNAcentral lists this non-coding RNA (479 nucleotides) under Trichobilharzia regenti. RNAcentral's name for it is "Eukaryotic large subunit ribosomal RNA". It matches the Rfam family "Eukaryotic large subunit ribosomal RNA", at positions 1470 to 1887 of the family's 3401-position model. The record is from Rfam by way of RNAcentral. Lineage: Eukaryota; Metazoa; Platyhelminthes; Trematoda; Strigeidida; Schistosomatidae.